This 700-nucleotide ribosomal RNA is filed under the name Bacteroidetes bacterium GM31. RNAcentral's name for it is "bacterial SSU rRNA". It matches the Rfam family "Bacterial small subunit ribosomal RNA", at positions 81 to 779 of the family's 1533-position model. The record is from RNAcentral. Lineage: Bacteria; Pseudomonadati; Bacteroidota.
UGCUUCUCACGAAAGUGGCGCACGGGUGCGUAACGCGUAUGCAACCUACCUUAAUCAGGGGGAUAGCCCGAAGAAAUUCGGAUUAACACCGCAUAAAAUCACAGUAUAGCAUUAUACAAUGAUCAAAUAUUUAUAGGAUUAAGAUGGGCAUGCGUGACAUUAGUUAGUUGGCGGGGUAACGGCCCACCAAGACCACGAUGUCUAGGGGAUCUGAGAGGAUGACCCCCCACACUGGUACUGAGACACGGACCAGACUCCUACGGGAGGCAGCAGUAAGGAAUAUUGGUCAAUGGAGGCAACUCUGAACCAGCCAUGCCGCGUGCAGGAAGACAGCCCUCUGGGUCGUAAACUGCUUUUAUUCGGGAAUAAACCUAUCUACGUGUAGAUAGCUGAAUGUACCGAAGGAAUAAGGAUCGGCUAACUCCGUGCCAGCAGCCGCGGUAAUACGGAGGAUCCAAGCGUUAUCCGGAUUUAUUGGGUUUAAAGGGUGCGUAGGCGGCUUAUUAAGUCAGGGGUGAAAGACGGUGGCUCAACCAUCGCAGUGCCUUUGAUACUGAUGAGCUUGAAUAUACUAGAGGUAGGCGGAAUGUGACAAGUAGCGGUGAAAUGCAUAGAUAUGUCACAGAACACCGAUUGCGAAGGCAGCUUACUAUGGUAUUAUUGACGCUGAGGCACGAAAGCGUGGGGAUCAAACAGGAUU